RNAcentral lists this ribosomal RNA (200 nucleotides) under uncultured bacterium. Its description in RNAcentral is "partial 16S ribosomal RNA". It matches the Rfam family "Bacterial small subunit ribosomal RNA", at positions 8 to 202 of the family's 1533-position model. The record is from RNAcentral.
AGAGUUUGAUCAUGGCUCAGGAUGAACGCUAGCGGCAGGCUUAACACAUGCAAGUCGAGGGGCAGCGCGGGUAGCAAUACCUGGCGGCGACCGGCAAACGGGUGCGGAACGCGUACGCAAUCUACCUUAAUCUGGGGCAUAGCCCGGAGAAAUCCGGAUUAACUCCCCAUAGUAUAUUGGAGUGGCAUCACUCUGGCAUU